Molecule: ribosomal RNA, 226 nt
Filed under: Streptococcus thermophilus
Lineage: Bacteria; Bacillati; Bacillota; Bacilli; Lactobacillales; Streptococcaceae
Description: partial 16S ribosomal RNA
Rfam family: Bacterial small subunit ribosomal RNA
Source: RNAcentral
GAUGGACCUGCGUUGUAUUAGCUAGUAGGUGAGGUAAUGGCUCACCUAGGCGACGAUACAUAGCCGACCUGAGAGGGUGAUCGGCCACACUGGGACUGAGACACGGCCCAGACUCCUACGGGAGGCAGCAGUAGGGAAUCUUCGGCAAUGGGGGCAACCCUGACCGAGCAACGCCGCGUGAGUGAAGAAGGUUUUCGGAUCGUAAAGCUCUGUUGUAAGUCAAGAA